This 330-nucleotide ribosomal RNA is filed under the name uncultured eukaryote. RNAcentral's name for it is "partial 18S ribosomal RNA". It matches the Rfam family "Eukaryotic small subunit ribosomal RNA", at positions 1470 to 1796 of the family's 1831-position model. The record is from RNAcentral.
CCCUUAGAUGUUCUGGGCCGCACGCGCGCUACACUGUUCGACGCAGCGAGUCUUAACCUUGACCGAAAGGUUUGGGUAAUCUUCAGCAAAGUCGAACGUGAUGGGGAUCGAUCAUUGCAAUUAUUGAUCGUGAACGAGGAAUUCCUAGUAAGUGCAAGUCAUCAGCUUGCGCUGAUUACGUCCCUGCCCUUUGUACACACCGCCCGUCGCUCCUACCGAUUGAAUGAUCCGAUGAAUACCAUGGAUUGAGAGUUCGAACAGGUUCGCCUGUUUCAGCUUCUCGAGAAGUGGAGUAAAUCUUAUCAUUUAGAGGAAGGAGAAGUCGUAACA